RNAcentral lists this ribosomal RNA (481 nucleotides) under uncultured bacterium. RNAcentral describes it as "partial 16S ribosomal RNA". It matches the Rfam family "Bacterial small subunit ribosomal RNA", at positions 28 to 507 of the family's 1533-position model. The record is from RNAcentral.
GAUGAACGCUGGCGGCGUGCCUAACACAUGCAAGUCGAGCGAAGCGCUUAAAUUAGCUUUCUUCGGAAUGACGAUUUUUGUGACUGAGCGGCGGACGGGUGAGUAACGCGUGGGUAACCUGCCUCAUACAGGGGGAUAACAGUUAGAAAUGACUGCUAAUACCGCAUAAGACCCCAGCUUCGCAUGAAGCGGUGGUAAAAACUCCGGUGGUAUGAGAUGGACCCGCGUCUGAUUAGCUAGUUGGUAAGGUAACGGCUUACCAAGGCGACGAUCAGUAGCCGACCUGAGAGGGUGACCGGCCACAUUGGGACUGAGACACGGCCCAGACUCCUACGGGAGGCAGCAGUGGGGAAUAUUGCACAAUGGGGGAAACCCUGAUGCAGCGACGCCGCGUGAAGGAUGAAGUAUUUCGGGAUGUAAACUUCUAUCAGCAGGGAAGAAAGUGACGGUACCUGACUAAGAAGCCCCGGCUAACUACGUG